Molecule: ribosomal RNA, 2028 nt
Filed under: Escherichia coli
Lineage: Bacteria; Pseudomonadati; Pseudomonadota; Gammaproteobacteria; Enterobacterales; Enterobacteriaceae
Description: partial 23S ribosomal RNA
Rfam family: Bacterial large subunit ribosomal RNA
Source: RNAcentral
CGGGACACGUGGUAUCCUGUCUGAAUAUGGGGGGACCAUCCUCCAAGGCUAAAUACUCCUGACUGACCGAUAGUGAACCAGUACCGUGAGGGAAAGGCGAAAAGAACCCCGGCGAGGGGAGUGAAAAAGAACCUGAAACCGUGUACGUACAAGCAGUGGGAGCACGCUUAGGCGUGUGACUGCGUACCUUUUGUAUAAUGGGUCAGCGACUUAUAUUCUGUAGCAAGGUUAACCGAAUAGGGGAGCCGAAGGGAAACCGAGUCUUAACUGGGCGUUAAGUUGCAGGGUAUAGACCCGAAACCCGGUGAUCUAGCCAUGGGCAGGUUGAAGGUUGGGUAACACUAACUGGAGGACCGAACCGACUAAUGUUGAAAAAUUAGCGGAUGACUUGUGGCUGGGGGUGAAAGGCCAAUCAAACCGGGAGAUAGCUGGUUCUCCCCGAAAGCUAUUUAGGUAGCGCCUCGUGAAUUCAUCUCCGGGGGUAGAGCACUGUUUCGGCAAGGGGGUCAUCCCGACUUACCAACCCGAUGCAAACUGCGAAUACCGGAGAAUGUUAUCACGGGAGACACACGGCGGGUGCUAACGUCCGUCGUGAAGAGGGAAACAACCCAGACCGCCAGCUAAGGUCCCAAAGUCAUGGUUAAGUGGGAAACGAUGUGGGAAGGCCCAGACAGCCAGGAUGUUGGCUUAGAAGCAGCCAUCAUUUAAAGAAAGCGUAAUAGCUCACUGGUCGAGUCGGCCUGCGCGGAAGAUGUAACGGGGCUAAACCAUGCACCGAAGCUGCGGCAGCGACGCUUAUGCGUUGUUGGGUAGGGGAGCGUUCUGUAAGCCUGCGAAGGUGUGCUGUGAGGCAUGCUGGAGGUAUCAGAAGUGCGAAUGCUGACAUAAGUAACGAUAAAGCGGGUGAAAAGCCCGCUCGCCGGAAGACCAAGGGUUCCUGUCCAACGUUAAUCGGGGCAGGGUGAGUCGACCCCUAAGGCGAGGCCGAAAGGCGUAGUCGAUGGGAAACAGGUUAAUAUUCCUGUACUUGGUGUUACUGCGAAGGGGGGACGGAGAAGGCUAUGUUGGCCGGGCGACGGUUGUCCCGGUUUAAGCGUGUAGGCUGGUUUUCCAGGCAAAUCCGGAAAAUCAAGGCUGAGGCGUGAUGACGAGGCACUACGGUGCUGAAGCAACAAAUGCCCUGCUUCCAGGAAAAGCCUCUAAGCAUCAGGUAACAUCAAAUCGUACCCCAAACCGACACAGGUGGUCAGGUAGAGAAUACCAAGGCGCUUGAGAGAACUCGGGUGAAGGAACUAGGCAAAAUGGUGCCGUAACUUCGGGAGAAGGCACGCUGAUAUGUAGGUGAAGUCCCUCGCGGAUGGAGCUGAAAUCAGUCGAAGAUACCAGCUGGCUGCAACUGUUUAUUAAAAACACAGCACUGUGCAAACACGAAAGUGGACGUAUACGGUGUGACGCCUGCCCGGUGCCGGAAGGUUAAUUGAUGGGGUCAGCGCAAGCGAAGCUCUUGAUCGAAGCCCCGGUAAACGGCGGCCGUAACUAUAACGGUCCUAAGGUAGCGAAAUUCCUUGUCGGGUAAGUUCCGACCUGCACGAAUGGCGUAAUGAUGGCCAGGCUGUCUCCACCCGAGACUCAGUGAAAUUGAACUCGCUGUGAAGAUGCAGUGUACCCGCGGCAAGACGGAAAGACCCCGUGAACCUUUACUAUAGCUUGACACUGAACAUUGAGCCUUGAUGUGUAGGAUAGGUGGGAGGCUUUGAAGUGUGGACGCCAGUCUGCAUGGAGCCGACCUUGAAAUACCACCCUUUAAUGUUUGAUGUUCUAACGUUGACCCGUAAUCCGGGUUGCGGACAGUGUCUGGUGGGUAGUUUGACUGGGGCGGUCUCCUCCUAAAGAGUAACGGAGGAGCACGAAGGUUGGCUAAUCCUGGUCGGACAUCAGGAGGUUAGUGCAAUGGCAUAAGCCAGCUUGACUGCGAGCGUGACGGCGCGAGCAGGUGCGAAAGCAGGUCAUAGUGAUCCGGUGGUUCUG